AUGGUAGUGACUGCACACUUCAUUGAUGAAGAUUGGAAGUAUCAUAAGAAGAUUAUUAAUUUCAUUAUGGUGAAGGGCCACAAAGGGAAGGAUCUUGGGAAGAACUUGCAGAGAUGUUUGAUGGAAUGGGGGCUAGAGAGAGUUAUGACAGUCACCAUGGAUAAUGCAAGCAACAAUGAUGGCUGCAUUAUUCACUUGAGAAAGUGCAUGGUUGAGGCCAAAACUAGCAUAGCUGCUGGAAAGUUUUUGCAUAUGAGAUGUGCGGCACAUAUUGUCAACCUUAUUGUACAAGAUGGCCUAAAGGAAGUUGAACUUUCAAUCAAACAUGUCCGAGAUGCUAUGCGAUACAUCAAGAAUGGGACUUCUCGGUUGGUAAAAUUCAAAGAGCUAGCAUUGGAAGAAAAAGUUAAGAGCAAGGCAUUCUUGAACCUAGAUGUAUGCACUCGGUGGAACUCAACUUACAUAAUGUUGAAGGCUGCCAUCACCUACCCGAAGGUGUUUACAAGGUACUGUGAGGAUGACCCAUUGUAUGCGUUGGACUUGUCUGAACAAAAAGGAGGAUUUGGGUAUCCAGAUGAGAUGGAUUUGGAAAAUGCUAGGAAAAUGGCUGCCUUUCUUGGUCAUUUUUAUGAUCUUAUUGUUCGCGUGUCAUCCUCACUUCAUGUCACUUCCAACAACUUUCUUUUCGAGGUUGGCAAUAUACACAUAUUGGUUCAAAAUUGGAUGAGCAGUACAGAUCCUUUGCAAAAAGCUAUGGCAGAGAGGAUGAAAGAAAAGUUUGACAAAUACUGGGGGUCAUGGCAUGAGAAUGAAAAGGUGAAGGAGAAGGGUCCUAUUGUAAAUGAAAGAGGGAAAGGGAAGAAGAAGGAGAAGGAGGAGAAGGAGAAGGAAAAUCUCAACUUGCUCAUUUUUAUUGCUGCAGCUCUUGAUCCAAGGUAUAAGCUUUCUGAUUUCACUAGGCUCACUACUUUGGAAAUAUUUGGUGUUGAGUCUGGAGAGAAGGUGUGGUAUGAUGUCAACAAAUGUGUUCGCGAGUUGUUUGAAGAAUACCGAGUAAGAUUGACUACACCAGAACCAACAACACCAGCCAUUAGCCAAGUAACAAUAGGAGGAGGAGCAAGUAUGAUGAAGGAACUAAUUGCAAGUAGGUUGAGGCAAAAUAAUAGUGGAGGAAGUGCAAGUAGUAAAUCUGAGCUUGAAAAAUACCUUGCCGAAGACUCUGAAGACCCUAACAAAAAAUUGACAUCCUAG
This 1251-nucleotide ribosomal RNA is filed under the name Triticum aestivum (bread wheat). Its description in RNAcentral is "partial small subunit ribosomal RNA". Lineage: Eukaryota; Viridiplantae; Streptophyta; Magnoliopsida; Poales; Poaceae. The record is from RNAcentral.